RNAcentral lists this ribosomal RNA (1975 nucleotides) under Discias sp. AT-2008. RNAcentral describes it as "eukaryotic LSU rRNA". It matches the Rfam family "Eukaryotic large subunit ribosomal RNA", at positions 116 to 1598 of the family's 3401-position model. The record is from RNAcentral. Lineage: Eukaryota; Metazoa; Arthropoda; Malacostraca; Decapoda; Disciadidae.
GCAUACCUCGGCGGCUUGACGGCCGUACGAGGGGUGUUGCGUUUCGGUGCGUCCAUCUCCGCCUCUCGCCGCACCACCGUCUAAGUCGUUGCUUGAAAGCAGCCCCGAGGAGGGUGACAGGCCCGUUUGACGGAGACCUUUCCCGCGAGGGAGAGGUGUAACGAGGCGGCGGGGGCGGAUGGUCGUUCACCGUAGAGUCGGGUUGCCUAGUAUCGCAGCCCUAAGCAGGUGGUAAACUCCAUCUAAGGCUAAAUAUGACCACGAGACCGAUAGCGAACAAGUACCGUGAGGGAAAGUUGAAAAGGACUUUGAAGAGAGAGUUCAAUAGUACGUGAAACCGUUAGAAGCCUAAACGGGUGGAACCGCGAAGGUCGAACGAGGGGAUUCAGGCCGCUUGGCCGGGCCGCUCCGCCGGGCGCGACCAGGCAUUUGAUUUGAGAGAUGCCUGGCGUUGUUGCCGGCGGGGUUCAAUGACGAGAGACCGGCCACGGCGGUCUUACUUCUCCCUCUAGUAGGUCGCCGCGACCCGUCGUCGGGACCCCGAGGUACCUGGCCGUUGGUAGCCCGUUAGGCGGCGCGGGGCUCCGGCCCCGCCUCGUCCUACACGGGUGAUGGCGGCCUCGAUCACUGUUCGGGCCUCGGCGACGGUCACUGUGAGGGUGGCUCUCAUCUGAUGGGAGCCUCUCGCGGCGUGUGAGGUCGGUAAUCCACCCGACCCGUCUUGAAACACGGACCAAGGAGUCCAACAAGCGCGCGAGUCUAAGGGUGUUGACUAAACCCGGAGGCGAAAUGAAAGUAAGCGUCAUGCAUGAUGGUGCAUAGGGGACUGCCCUCUGUCUUUGUUGAUGGGUUAAAGCCAGGGCGGUCCUCUAGAAGCCGGCCGAUCCCCGGAGGGAGAUCGGGUGCGGCGCGGCGGCGUCCUCCGUUCGCGGGGUUGGCGCGUCCUGCUGCGUCGCACUCGCCUCCGCCCGCACCCUUAUGGCGGGGUGCGGGUCCUGGUCUAACAGGCCCUCCUUGACCGGAGGUCGGGGCGCAGGCCAAGGACUGGCCGCCUAACCCGUGCGGCGGGGCGGAUCGCCUCGGCCCUCGGGCCUGGGGCGCUAAGGCCCGCCGCGCGGGUGGCCAGUACCUGAGAGCGCGCUCGUUGGGACCCGAAAGAUGGUGAACUAUGCCCGGCCAGGACGAAGCUAGAGGAAACUCUGGUGGAGGUUCGAAGCAAUUCUGACGUGCAAAUCGAUUGUCAAAGCUGGGUAUAGGGGCGAAAGACCAAUCGAACCAUCUAGUAGCUGGUUCCCUCCGAAGUUUCCCUCAGGAUAGCUGGCGUUCGUUGAUGAGUUUCAUCCGGUAAAGCGAAUGAUUAGAGGCCUUGGGGGUGCAACGCCCUCAACCUAUUCUCAAACUUUAAAUGGGUGAGAAGCGCACCUUGCUUGAUGUUGAAUGAAGGUGUCGCGUCGAAUCGGAGCGCCUAGUGGGCCACUUUUGGUAAGCAGAACUGGCGCUGUGGGAUGAACCAAACGCACGAGUUAAGGGGCCUAAACGAAUGCUAAUGUAGAUACUACGAAAAGGUGUUGGUUGCUAUGGACAGCAGGGCGGUGGCCAUGGAAGUUGGAACCCGCUAAGGAGUGUGUAACAACUCACCUGCCGAAGCAACUAGCCCUCAAAAUGGUAUGGCGCUCAAGCAUUCUCCCGAUACUCGGCCGCCGGGGCAGAGGGAGACCUGUUCGCAGAAAACCCGAGAGGCCCCGGUGAGUAGGAGGGUCGCGACGGUGUGCGCAGAAGGGACCCGGCGUGAGCCGGCCUGGAGCCGCCGUUGGCGCAGAUCUUGGUGGUAGUAGCAAAUAAUCGAGAGAGAACCUCGUUGACUGAGGCGGAGAAGGGUUCCAUGUCAACGUCAGUUGGACAUGGGUUAGUCAGACCUUAGCCCAAGGAUAGAUUUCCUGCAGCCCGACGUAUACCCGCAGAGGGGCCAAACAAA